This 276-nucleotide ribosomal RNA is filed under the name uncultured bacterium. Its description in RNAcentral is "partial 16S ribosomal RNA". It matches the Rfam family "Bacterial small subunit ribosomal RNA", at positions 399 to 691 of the family's 1533-position model. The record is from RNAcentral.
GCGUGGGCGAUGAAGGCCUUCGGGUUGUAAAGCCCUUUUCUGUGGGAAGAGGAAGGACGGUACCACAGGAACAAGUCUCGGCUAACUACGUGCCAGCAGCCGCGGUAAAACGUAGGAGGCGAGCGUUAUCCGGAUUUACUGGGCGUAAAGGGCAAGUAGGCGGUAGCACAAGUUGGGUGUGAAAUCUCCCGGCCUAACUGGGAGGGGGCGCUCAAAACUACGCUACUAGAGGGCAGAAGAGGGGGGUGGAACUCCUAGUGUAGCGGUGGAAUGCUC